CUUUAACACAACUAACAAAUCCAAACAAUCCACCAAUAAUCACAGUUGACACAAUUGGUAAGAAUGUAUUAUUUAUUGCUCGACCUGCCUUUAGGAUAACCUAUACCAAAAGGAAUUUAUUUUUGAGAAAACAACCAGCAAAUCAAACCUUGUAUAGUCCUGAUAAUAAUAAUAAUAAUAAUAAUAAACACAAUAUUAAAAUGGUCCUGGGUCAAACCAACAGCUCCAUGGCUGACAGGUUUCCUGUUAAUUGACACCCUAUUCUCUUCAUAGCGUACUACUUUAGAUAAGGGUCAUUGGGCUAAAAGUAGUUCACUAUGUACAAUCCCAAAUACAACCUGGGCCCCUUUUCUCUAUUAACUGGAUUAGAUCUGUAAAAAUGUAUGGGUCCAAGCUGCAUGGUAACAGAUUCACCCUGUUCUCAGAUAGGCUCCUCAUGACUAGACCUUUUAAAAUCACAGAUAUUUGUAUUUAAAAAAGAAAGUGCAUUAGUGACAUUACUAGAUAAAGUGGCAGGACAAAUAAAAUAAAAACAGCAACAUCUGAAGCGUGAGGACUGGAAAUGGUGGUUUAAUAAAGCCCUGAUCAUAUAUUAUCAAAGGGAAACCUACAGUGGAUGUCUCAGCUGUGGAUUGGUGAAUCUGCUGUGUUGAACAAACAUUGUGUGUAUCAGGAAGACAAACUACAGUGGAUGUCUCAGCUGUGGAUUGGUGAAUCUGCUGUGUUGAACAAACAUUGUGUGUAUCAGGAAGGCAAACUACAGUGGUGGUUGCUGUUAGAAAACACAAACAACAAUGUUAAGCACGGUUGCAAGAGGCUGGUAACUUCCUCAUUAAGACUUUCCAGGUUUCCCAAAGACCCAGAAAACAAACCAGGAAGGUUACCAGCCAUUCUGCAAUUUUGCUGUAUAUGUGAGUGAAUCAUAAACACAAAAACAUGGAGGCACAAUACUAAAUACAAGGGGAUAGAUUAAAUCAUAGUGAACCACCUGUCAAAGAGAAUUAACCAACAGCAUGAGACCAAGAGGGCAGUCAACACUACAUUAAGUACUUGCUCAUAUAGAAGAUUAGAGGGAUUGUAUGUACUUCAGUAGGGUCACGUUAAGAAACUUUGAGCCUAGAACAUACUUUCUGAGUUAAACGGUCAAUAAUGGAUCAAUCAAGGCCCUGUUCAUCUGUAACAUUUCACCCUGAAAACCCUGACACUUUGGUGUCAAUAAAACAACAUUGGUGAGUUUCCCAAAUGGUCCCCUAUUACAUGUAUACUACACUACCUGGUCUAAAGUAGUCCACUAUACAGGGAACAGGGACCAUUAGUUCAACCAGCCCUUUCAGAGGACUACACUACCUGGUCUAAUGUAGUCCACUAUACAGGGAACAGGGACCAUUAGUUCAACCAGCCCUUUCAGAGGACUACACUACCUGGUCUAUAGUCCACUAUACAGGGAACAGGGACCAUUAGUUCAACCAGCCCUUUCAGAGGACUACACUACCUGGUCUAUAGUCCACUAUACAGGGAACAGGGACCAUUAGUUCAACCAGCCCUUUCAGAGGACUACACUACCUGGUCUA
This is a long non-coding RNA of Esox lucius (northern pike), 1571 nucleotides long. NCBI's taxonomy places the organism in Eukaryota, Metazoa, Chordata, Actinopteri, Esociformes, Esocidae. The record is from Ensembl.